AUUGAACGCUGGCGGCAUGCCUUACACAUGCAAGUCGAACGGCAGCGCGGGAGCAAUCCUGGCGGCGAGUGGCGAACGGGUGAGUAAUACAUCGGAACGUGCCCAAUAGUGGGGGAUAACGCAGCGAAAGCUGUGCUAAUACCGCAUACGAUCUACGGAUGAAAGCAGGGGAUCGCAAGACCUUGCGCGAAUGGAGCGGCCGAUGGCAGAUUAGGUAGUUGGUGAGGUAAAGGCUCACCAAGCCUUCGAUCUGUAACUGGUCUGAGAGGACGACCAGCCACACUGGGACUGAGACACGGCCCAGACUCCUACGGGAGGCAGCAGUGGGGAAUUUUGGACAAAGGGCGAAAGCCUGAUCCAGCCAUGCCGCGUGCAGGAUGAAGGCCUUCGGGUUGUAAACUGCUUUUGUACGGAACGAAACGGUCUUUUCUAAUAAAGAAGGCUAAUGACGGUACCGUAAGAAUAAGCACCGGCUAACUACGUG
RNAcentral lists this ribosomal RNA (484 nucleotides) under uncultured bacterium. RNAcentral's name for it is "partial 16S ribosomal RNA". It matches the Rfam family "Bacterial small subunit ribosomal RNA", at positions 30 to 507 of the family's 1533-position model. The record is from RNAcentral.